RNAcentral lists this long non-coding RNA (1184 nucleotides) under Phasianus colchicus (ring-necked pheasant). Its description in RNAcentral is "lncRNA (ENSPCLG00000021390.1)". Lineage: Eukaryota; Metazoa; Chordata; Aves; Galliformes; Phasianidae. The record is from RNAcentral.
GGGGGAUGGUCUCUUCCCUACUCCUGAUGACAAUGCUAUUUCCGAUACAAGCCAGGAUGCCAUUGGCCUUGUUUGCCACCUGGUCACACUGUUGGCUCAUGUUAAUCUGAGUGUCAACCAAUGUGCCCAGGUGCCUUUCUUCCACACAGUCUUCCAGCCACUCUGCCUCAAGCCUGUAGUGUUACAUUGGAUUGUGGCCAAAAGGAAACAGACUGAUGCUGUUUGCUACAAGCAGACUUGUACCAACUCCCAAUGUCUGGAGAAGAAAUUCAACCUGAGGAGCUGGGUGAGAAAAUGAAGCACUUAACAAGUAAAUUGAUUCCAGCUGAUCUUCUUGGAAAAAAUGGCUAUAACUUUUCAUUUUCAGCUUGUACGAGUUAUGGUAUCAUCAGAUCUACAUUUUCUUCAAAGAUCUUACUUCACUCAUAGGAAGAAAUGAACAAGAAAGCUUUAUGGUUGAAAGUCAACUCAUUAAUCUUAUUUGUCAUAUAUCAAAAUUUGCUGCACUUAGCAACGGGAGAUUUAGAAGUGAAAGUGUAGAAUACUUGACUAUAAUCAUAUAUUUCAUAUCAUGUUUAGUUAUGUCUGCAACGUGGGAAGGGGAUACCUUUUACUGAGACUACUUCUGCCAGAAAAGCUGUAGAAUGUGUUCCAAAUUGUCAUUUAGAAAAAAAAAUUUUUGGUGAUCUAGAAGAUCAUUGUCUGUAUUUUUAAUACUCUAAGCAGGACUGGUCUUUGUGUGUUAUGAUAAAGUCUUGAGGUAUGUGCUAGAUCUACUAAGAAAGCCAAGCUUUGCCUUGCCUUUUGACAUUCACUAUGUCAGCAAGGGUUUACUGUUCUCAUUAUUACUGUGAAAUAAUGGGUUGAGUUUAGUGCAGACAAGAAAGUGAUAUAAAUUUAAAAAAAAAAAAAAAGAUGAAUUAUGGGAAGGUGCUAUUAACUGAUGAAUGUUAAAUAUGUAAAUGUCCUAAGCAUCUGUAGUGAGAAGAAAGCUGGUGUGGUCCAUACUAGACUAUACUGGAAUGAACCAAGAACGCAAUGAAGAUAUGUAUCAUCUUUUGAGUGGAAGCUCUCUAUGGAAACAGGAAGAUCUGGGACCAACACAGCCCUUAAGAAAGGAGAAGUCAUGCAAUGAAGAAAUACUUGACAAUAAAUCAAUUGGUUUAAAUUGUUCUUUUGUGAAU